RNAcentral lists this ribosomal RNA (245 nucleotides) under uncultured bacterium. Its description in RNAcentral is "partial 16S ribosomal RNA". The record is from RNAcentral.
CUGCUGCCUUCCGUAGGAGUCUGGGCCGUAUCUCAGUCCCAAUGUGGCCGGUCAACCUCUCAGUCCGGCUACUGAUCGUCGCCUAGGUGGGCCGUUACCCCGCCUACCAGCUAAUCAGACGCGAGGCCAUCUUCCAGCGAUAAAUCUUUGACAUGUCCGUGAUGCCACGGUCAUGUGUCAUGCGGUAUUAGCAGUCGUUUCCAACUGUUGUCCCCCUCUGGAAGGCAGGUUCCUCACGCGUUACU